ACCAACGAAGGGAGGUGAUCCGAGAAGUGAAGACUCUUCGGACCAGCGAGGUGGUCGCGGGCUGAGUCCCGUGACCACCGGGACCCGCGGGUGCCGUGCCAUCGUCCAGCACGGCGGGAGAAGACUCCGACCCGCGGGUCUUUCCGU
Molecule: small RNA, 147 nt
Filed under: Isoptericola halotolerans
Lineage: Bacteria; Bacillati; Actinomycetota; Actinomycetes; Micrococcales; Promicromonosporaceae
Description: sRNA Ms_IGR-5
Rfam family: Actinobacteria sRNA Ms_IGR-5
Source: RNAcentral